GACGAACGCUGGCGGCGUGCCUAAUACAUGCAAGUUGAGCGCUGAAGGUUGGUACUUGUACCAACUGGAUGAGCAGCGAACGGGUGAGUAAUGCGUGGGGAAUCUGCCUUUGAGCGGGGGACAACAUUUGGAAACGAAUGCUAAUACCGCAUAAAAACUUUAAACACAAGUUUUAAGUUUGAAAGAUGCAAUUGCAUCACUCAAAGAUGAUCCCGCGUUGUAUUAGCUAGUUGGUGAGGUAAAGGCUCACCAAGGCGAUGAUACAUAGCCGACCUGAGAGGGUGAUCGGCCACAUUGGGACUGAGACACGGCCCAAACUCCUACGGGAGGCAGCAGUAGGGAAUCUUCGGCAAUGGACGAAAGUCUGACCGAGCAACGCCGCGUGAGUGAAGAAGGUUUUCGGAUCGUAAAACUCUGUUGGUAGAGAAGAACGUUGGUGAGAGUGGAAAGCUCAUCAAGUGACGGUAACUACCCAGAAAGGGACGGCUAACUACGUG
RNAcentral lists this ribosomal RNA (497 nucleotides) under uncultured bacterium. Its description in RNAcentral is "partial 16S ribosomal RNA". It matches the Rfam family "Bacterial small subunit ribosomal RNA", at positions 28 to 507 of the family's 1533-position model. The record is from RNAcentral.